Molecule: ribosomal RNA, 253 nt
Filed under: uncultured bacterium
Lineage: Bacteria
Description: partial 16S ribosomal RNA
Rfam family: Bacterial small subunit ribosomal RNA
Source: RNAcentral
UACGGAGGGUGCAAGCGUUAAUCGGAAUUACUGGGCGUAAAGCGUGCGUAGGCGGUUCGUUAAGUCUGUUGUGAAAGCCCCGGGCCCAACCUGGGAAUGGCAAUGGAUACUGGCGAGCUAGAGUGUGUCAGAGGAUGGUGGAAUUCCCGGUGUAGCGGUGAAAUGCGUAGAGAUCGGGAGGAACAUCAGUGGCGAAGGCGGCCAUCUGGGACAACACUGACGCUGAGGCACGAAAGCGUGGGGAGCAAACAGG